This 497-nucleotide ribosomal RNA is filed under the name uncultured bacterium. RNAcentral describes it as "partial 16S ribosomal RNA". It matches the Rfam family "Bacterial small subunit ribosomal RNA", at positions 28 to 507 of the family's 1533-position model. The record is from RNAcentral.
GAUGAACGCUGGCGGCGUGCCUAAUACAUGCAAGUCGAGCGAACGGACGAGAAGCUUGCUUCUCUGACGUUAGCGGCGGACGGGCGAGUAACACGUGGAUAACCUACCUAUAAGACUGGGAUAACUUCGGGAAACCGGAGCUAAUACCGGAUAAUAUUUUGAACCGCAUGGUUCAAAAGUGAAAGACGGUCUUGCUGUCACUUAUAGAUGGAUCCGCGCUGCAUUAGCUAGUUGGUAAGGUAACGGCUUACCAAGGCAACGAUUCAUAGCCGACCUGAGAGGGUGAUCGGCCACACUGGAACUGAGACACGGUCCAGACUCCUACGGGAGGCAGCAGUAGGGAAUCUUCCGCAAUGGGCGAAAGCCUGACGGAGCAACGCCGCGUGAGUGAUGAAGGUCUUCGGAUCGUAAAACUCUGUUAUUAGGGAAGAACAUAUGUGUAAGUAACUGUGCACAUCUUGACGGUACCUAAUCAGAAAGCCACGGCUAACUACGUG